This 353-nucleotide ribosomal RNA is filed under the name uncultured bacterium. RNAcentral's name for it is "bacterial SSU rRNA". It matches the Rfam family "Bacterial small subunit ribosomal RNA", at positions 71 to 423 of the family's 1533-position model. The record is from RNAcentral.
GUUUGAUAGCAAUAUUGAACCUAGAGUGUCGUAAGGGUGCGUAACACGUAUGCAAUCUGCCCUGUACAGGAGGAUAGCUCCCCGAAAGGGGAAUUAACACUCCAUAAGAUGAGAGAGUGGCAUCACUUUUUUAUUAAAACUGAGGUGGUACAGGAUGAGCAUGCGCAUGAUUAGUUAGUUGGCGGGGUAAAGGCCCACCAAGACGAUGAUCAUUAGGGGAACUGAGAGGUUGAUCCCCCACACUGGCACUGAGAUACGGGCCAGACUCCUACGGGAGGCAGCAGUAGGGAAUAUUGGACAAUGGGUGAGAGCCUGAUCCAGCCAUGCCGCGUGCAGGAAGAAAGCCUUCUGGG